AUUGAACGCUGGCGGCAGGCCUAACACACGCAAGUCGAACGGUAACAGGAAGCAGCUUGCUGCUUUGCUGACGAGUGGCGGACGGGUGAGUAAUGUCUGGGAAACUGCCUGAUGGAGGGGGAUAACUACUGGAAACGGUAGCUAAUACCGCAUAACGUCGCAAGACCAAAGAGGGGGACCUUCGGGCCUCUUGCCAUCGGAUGUGCCCAGAUGGGAUUAGCUAGUAGGUGGGGUAACGGCUCACCUAGGCGACGAUCCCUAGCUGGUCUGAGAGGAUGACCAGCCACACUGGAACUGAGACACGGUCCAGACUCCUACGGGAGGCAGCAGUGGGGAAUAUUGCACAAUGGGCGCAAGCCUGAUGCAGCCAUGCCGCGUGUAUGAAGAAGGCCUUCGGGUUGUAAAGUACUUUCAGCGGGGAGGAAGGGAGUAAAGUUAAUACCUUUGCUCAUUGACGUUACCCGCAGAAGAAGCACCGGCUAACUCCGUG
Molecule: ribosomal RNA, 490 nt
Filed under: uncultured bacterium
Lineage: Bacteria
Description: partial 16S ribosomal RNA
Rfam family: Bacterial small subunit ribosomal RNA
Source: RNAcentral